CUAGCAUAUCAAUAAGCGCAGGAAAAGAAACCAACAGGGAUUGCCUCAGUAACGGCGAGUGAAGCGGCAACAGCUCAAAUUUGAAAUCUGGCCUCUUGGGGUCCGAGUUGUAAUUUGUAGAGGAUGUUUCGGGUACCGCCUCGGUUUAAAUUUCUUGGAACAGAAUGUCAAAGAGGGUGAGAAUCCCGUCUUGGACCGGCGGUAGGGCCUAUGUGAAACUCCUUCGACGAGUCGAGUUGUUUGGGAAUGCAGCUCAAAAUGGGUGGUAAAUUUCAUCUAAAGCUAAAUAUUGGCCAGAGACCGAUAGCGCACAAGUAGAGUGAUCGAAAGAUGAAAAGCACUUUGAAAAGAGAGUUAAACAGUAUGUGAAAUUGUUGAAAGGGAAGCGCUUGCAACCAGACUUGAGCGCGGCGGUUCCCCCUUGCUUCUGCUUGGGUUACUCCGCCGUGUCCAGGCCAACAUCGGUUCUGGGGGUCGGUCAAAGGCUCUGGGAAUGUAUCUACCCACGGGUAGACUUAUAGACCAGGGUGUCAUGCGACCUCCCGGGACCGAGGAACGCGCUUCGGCUCGGAUGUUGGCGUAAUGGUUGUCAGCGACCCGUCUUGAAACACGGACCAAGGAGUCUAACAUCUAUGCGAGUGUUUGGGUGUCAAACCCGGAACGCGGAAUGAAAGUGAACGGAGGUAGGAAGCUUCGGCUGCACUAUCGACCGAUCCUGAAGUUUACGGAUGGAUUUGAGUAAGAGCAUAGCUGUUGGGACCCGAAAGAUGGUGAACUAUGCCUGAAUAGGGUGAAGCCAGAGGAAACUCUGGUGGAGGCUCGCAGCGGUUCUGACGUGCAAAUCGAUCGUCAAAUUUGGGUAUAGGGGCGAAAGACUAAUCUAACCAUCUGGUACUGU
Molecule: ribosomal RNA, 898 nt
Filed under: Fonsecaea monophora
Lineage: Eukaryota; Fungi; Ascomycota; Eurotiomycetes; Chaetothyriales; Herpotrichiellaceae
Description: LSU rRNA
Rfam family: Eukaryotic large subunit ribosomal RNA
Source: RNAcentral